CCUCGCCUCGCCUCUCGCCUAAGGGCAUAAUUUCCCGUCACCUUAGAGUUGCCUUUCGCCUUAACACCACCGACGCACAACAGUAGUUCACCAGUUGGUGCAGCUUAGAUCAAUUUAAAAUUAGUGUGUUAUAGUUGUCUAAUUUAUUUUAAGAUGGGUUAUUAAUAAUUGGCAUACCAGGCAGAGCACUUUUAUGUGUAAUAUUUUGGUUAGAUAAGAUGGUGAAACUUGACACAAGGAUUAAUAGGUAAGGAUUAAUAGGUAAUACAUUACAUUGUUUAACAAUGGGGUACCUGAAUCCCAACUUAGACUUCAAUUACUUUAUUUUUCCCCCCUUCCCUUUUUCCGGUGCUCAUGUAUCAAUCUUUUCACACCUAAAAUCCUUUAGUCCAGUAAUCCAUUUGGAAUAUAUGACCUAUCAUUGUAAAGUCCUCACAGCUGUUUACAAAUUUUAACUAAUUUUAAUAACAAAAUCCUGAACUUUGCACCUUUUUUUAUCAAUAUAUCAUUUUCUUUUAAUUUUAUAAAUUUUAACCUUAACUAUAACUUUGGUACAGUUUUAUCCAAUUUAGUGAGUUAGAAUCAAAUGCAUAUGCAAAACUAUAAAACUGCCUAAAGUUAAAAAUAUAUGAUUUCUAUUCCUUUCCGAUAUUAAUAACAACUGUUGAUAAAUGAACCGAGCCUAAUUUCACCCAAAAGGCACCUUGUGAGGGGAGGAUUACCCAAGUCAUAUAUGAAGCCUAUUUGCCUUAUUCCUGGUCAAUGAUAGACAACACUAGGGGUGAGUAGUUUUUGGUUAUAACUGAAAAAAUAAACCGAAUCAAAUAGAACCAAUUCAGUAUUUUUGUUCAAUUAUUCGGCUCAAUCGGUUCGGUUAUCAAUUUCUAAUAAUUUUGGCUUUCGGUUCGGUUUGGAUUUUUUUUUUAUAACUGAAGAAACCAAAAAUUACAGGCCUGUAGGCCUUCUCCUUCUCCAGGCUAGGCCCAAGAGAAAAUUCUUAUCCAACUCCAAGCCCAGACCCUUUAGGCCUAUUCACUUUCUGUCUUUGAACCCUAAAUUUCUUCUCCCUGCCGGCAUUCUCUCAAUAUUUUCUACUCUCUUCUCUACUCUACUAUUGUGUGCUGUCCUCAUCAUCGCCUUGCAGCCUCCCUCUUGCUCAUUUUGACGUCAUUACUGUCGUCCCUUCACCCCCACUCCAGUAAACCAUUAAGUUACUUCACCAUCGGUUAACAGUCUAGGCACUUGACAUCUCUUCUCUGUUGACUGUCGAAGUCCAUAGCACUUAUGGGCUGCAUGGCUGCAUUUGUGAUUGCAUUUGUGUCUCCACUGUCUACGGUUUUCUUCUGCAUUUUUGAGCUGUG
Molecule: unclassified non-coding RNA, 1361 nt
Filed under: Hevea brasiliensis (rubber tree)
Lineage: Eukaryota; Viridiplantae; Streptophyta; Magnoliopsida; Malpighiales; Euphorbiaceae
Source: RNAcentral